Non-coding RNA from Danio rerio (zebrafish), 913 nucleotides. Lineage: Eukaryota; Metazoa; Chordata; Actinopteri; Cypriniformes; Danionidae. The record is from RefSeq and is a predicted model, not a curated record.
AUCUGAUGUGCGUCAAGGUGAAUUUGUGGUUGCCAUGGGGAGCCCCUUUUCUCUUAAAAACACCAUCACAUCUGGCAUCGUCAGCUCUGCUCAGAGAGGCAGUAAAGAACUGGGUCUCUCCAACUCCAACAUGGACUACAUCCAGACGGACGCUACCAUAGAUUUUGGAAAUUCAGGAGGGCCUCUCAUAAACCUGGAUGGUGAGGUCAUCGGCAUUAAUACCAUGAAAGUGACAGCAGGGAUUUCCUUCGCUAUUCCCUCAGACAGAGUCCGUCUCUUCCUAGACCGAUCUGCAGACAAACAGAAGUCUUGGUUUGGAGAAUCGGGAUGGAAAAGGCGUUACAUUGGAGUGAUGAUGUUGACUUUGACCCCCAGUAUAAUCGAAGAGCUAAGGAUGCGAGACCCGUCCUUCCCUGAUGUUUCUCAUGGAGUUCUCAUCCACCGUGUGAUUGUAGGAUCUCCAGCGAACAGAGCCAGAAUGAAGCCAGGAGAUGUUAUUAUUGAGAUCAAUGGGGUAAAGGUGAACACGUCAGAGGAGAUAUAUAAUGCUGUGAGGACCAGCGAAAGCUUAAAUGUGGUGGUCCGCCGGGGGGCCGACCUGCUCAUGCUGCACAUGACCCCAGAGUCCACAGAGUGACAUCAAGUCAAGUAUUUAGUAAGAUUAAGAAAUGGUGAGUAAUGAGAAGCUGUCAUAGUUGGAGAUGUUGUAAGAAAGGAAUCAUCUAAAGAGUUGAACAGUUUUAGCAAACGCUGGACAUUCGUGUAGUAAACGUGUUUCUGGAAGCGUAUGAAAUAAUGUGGAUGAUUCAGACUUCUGUACACUGGAUAAACCUCAGUGUGUCUGCGCAAACUACACUAUCAGUAUUGAUUUGAAGGAAUAUCACUGAAUAUUUUGUUUAGGAUUGUCAUGAUG